This is a long non-coding RNA of Eurytemora carolleeae, 706 nucleotides long. RefSeq lists it as uncharacterized. The transcript has 5 exons. NCBI's taxonomy places the organism in Eukaryota, Metazoa, Arthropoda, Copepoda, Calanoida, Temoridae. The record is from RefSeq and is a predicted model, not a curated record.
AAACUCUGUGUACGCCUCUGAAAAGUAAUUAAAAACCAUUAAUCAUUCUAAACAAAUUUUGUUUAGAACACAGAGAAGAGAUUUGCGGUACUUGGCCAAAAACUUGAUCAACAGACAGCAAUAGAGGGAGCUGCUUGCAGCGGUGUUCCCAUUAGGAAGCUUGUCAGUAACCUACAGGAAAUAAAGCGCGAGUACGCCGAGGUUUCAAGUGAACUCGAGAAAAUAAAAGAAGAACAGAAACUAGCAAUGGAGAUUUUUUUUAAGGAAUUUGACUCUGUUGCUACAGCCUUAGAAUCUCUUCAGAGUCGGAAAUGAAAUUUGUGUACAAAACAUAUGUGUACAAAACAUAUGUGUACAAAGCAUGUAAUAUUGAAAAAAAUUCAGCUUUUUUGUUGUCCAGUUUUAAGAAGUUUAUUAAACUACAAUUUUGUAACCGAAGAAAUAAUUUUUUAUUGAAAAGCAUUUCUGAUAUUAUUCGGAAAUAGUAAAGGUUGAGAUAACAAAGAAAAUAAAACGAAAUUACAGAAAUAUGCUUUUGGGUUAAAACAUCUUGCCUCUUCAUGUUCAGUUUUCAUCUAGUUCCCUCAGAUCAUUGAUAAUCCUAAAAGUAUAUAUAUGCUACUUGAAUCCAUAGGAUUAUGAUUUAUGACCUCGCACUUUAAAUUGCUAAUAAGACUUUUUUUUAUGAAUAAACGUGAAAUACUAG